CCUAUGGGAGGCAGCAGUGGGGAAUAUUGCACAAUGGGGGGAACCCUGAUGCAGCGACGCCGCGUGAGUGAAGAAGUGUCUCGGUACGUAAAGCUCUAUCAGCAGGGAAGAUAAUGACGGUACCUGACCAAAAAGCCCCGGCUAACUACGUGCCAGCAGCCGCGGUAAUACUGAGGGGGGAAACGUUAUCCGGAUUUACUGGGUGUAAAGGGGGCGGAGAAGGCAGCACAAGUCUGGAGUGAAAUCCCGGGGCUUAACCCCGGAACUGCUUUGGAAACUGCGCGGCUGGAGUGCAGGAGGGGCAAGCGGAAUUCCUAGUGUAGCGGUGAAAUGCGUAGAUAUUAGGAGGAACACCGGUGGCGAAGGCGGCUUACUGGACUGUAACUGACGUUGAGGCCCGAAAGCGUGGGGAGCAAACAGGAUUAGAUACCCGAGUAGUC
This 440-nucleotide ribosomal RNA is filed under the name uncultured bacterium. Its description in RNAcentral is "partial 16S ribosomal RNA". It matches the Rfam family "Bacterial small subunit ribosomal RNA", at positions 338 to 795 of the family's 1533-position model. The record is from RNAcentral.